GAUGAACGCUGGCGGCGUGCUUAACACAUGCAAGUCGAACGGACCAUAUUCGUAUGGUUAGUGGCAGACGGGUGCGUAACACGUGGGUGACCUGCCCUUAAGUGGGGAAUAACUCCGCUAACGCGGAGCUAAUACCGCAUAUGUUCGCUCAUUCGGUUGGGCGAGUAAAGCAGCAAUGCGCUUAGGGAUGGGCCUGCGGCGGAUUAGGUAGUUGGUGGGGUAACGGCCUACCAAGCCGAUGAUCCGUAGGGGGCGUGAGAGCGUGGCCCCCCACACUGGCACUGAGACACGGGCCAGACUCCUACGGGAGGCAGCAGUGAGGAAUAUUGCACAAUGGGCGCAAGCCUGAUGCAGCAACGCCGCGUGAGGGACGAAGGCCUUCGGGUUGUAAACCUCUUUUCUUGAGGGACGAGGAAGGACGGUACCUCAGGAAUAAGUCUCGGCUAACUACGUG
Molecule: ribosomal RNA, 454 nt
Filed under: uncultured bacterium
Lineage: Bacteria
Description: bacterial SSU rRNA
Rfam family: Bacterial small subunit ribosomal RNA
Source: RNAcentral